GACGAACGCUGGCGGCAGGCCUAACACAUGCAAGUCGGACGAGCGGCGGACGGGAGUGUAAGGUAUGGGGAUCUGCCUGAUGGCGGGGGAUAACUAGUGGAAACGGUAGCAAAUAACGCAUAACAGCAGAUGAACCCAUAUGGGAGUAGCUAGGAGGUAAGGGAAAGGCAUACUCAGGCGACGAUCCCUAGCUGGUCUGAGAGGAUGAUGAGCCACACGGGGACUGAAACACGGCCCAGACUCCUACGGGAGGCAGCAGUGGUGAAUAUUGCACAGUGGGCGAAAGCCUGAUGCAGCGACGCCGCGUGGGGGAGGAAGGCUUGGGGGUUGUAAACCUCGUGCGCUAUCGAACGGGUAGGUGGAGAAGAAGCGCCGGCUAACUACGUGCCAGCCGCCGCGGUAAUUC
This 406-nucleotide ribosomal RNA is filed under the name uncultured bacterium. Its description in RNAcentral is "partial 16S ribosomal RNA". It matches the Rfam family "Bacterial small subunit ribosomal RNA", at positions 28 to 526 of the family's 1533-position model. The record is from RNAcentral.